Antechinus flavipes (yellow-footed antechinus) is the source of this 525-nucleotide long non-coding RNA. RefSeq lists it as uncharacterized. NCBI's taxonomy places the organism in Eukaryota, Metazoa, Chordata, Mammalia, Dasyuromorphia, Dasyuridae. The record is from RefSeq and is a predicted model, not a curated record. The transcript is spliced from 3 exons.
AAUGGAAAAGAUGCUGGAUUGGAGGCGAGGUCAUGGUUUUCAUAAAUGUGAUGUAAAAACAAACGAGAAACUUUCCUGAUGACUAAGUUGGGAGGGACUUCUGGAGCCAACUAAUCCAACUCCUAAUUGAAGAAGAAUCCCUUCAACAACAUCCUUGAGGUCUUUUCUUAAAGACCUCAAAGACCUACUGCUUCUCCCAGGGAGCUUCAUUUUGUUUUUGGAUAGCUCUAAUUUUUAGGAAGUUUUUUCCUUACAUCAAGCUUCAAUUUAUCGCUUUGCAAAUUUCACCCAACUGUUCCUGCUUCUGUCUUCUAGGAUCGAGAAGAAUAAGUUGAUCACAGUGAAAUCUUUUCUAUUUGAAGAAAUGGAGACAAACAUAUCAAAUGACUUGCCUGGGACUACCCAUCUGGUGAGUAUCUGAGGCCAGUUUUGAACUCUGGUCUUCCUGCCCCGAGAACUAGGGCUCUAUACACUGAGCCACCCAGCUGCCCACCUGUACGACUGAAUAAAUCUCAUCACAACCUU